RNAcentral lists this ribosomal RNA (398 nucleotides) under uncultured bacterium. RNAcentral's name for it is "partial 16S ribosomal RNA". It matches the Rfam family "Bacterial small subunit ribosomal RNA", at positions 360 to 776 of the family's 1533-position model. The record is from RNAcentral.
AAUAUUGCACAAUGGAGGAAACUCUGAUGCAGCGACGCCGCGUGAGUGAAGAAGGUCUUCGGAUCGUAAAACUUUGUCCUUGGUGAAGAUAAUGAAGGUAGCCAAGGAGGAAGCACCGGCUAGCUACGUGCCAGCAGCCGCGGUAAUACGUAGGGGGCUAGCGUUGUACGGAUUUACUGGGCGUAAAGGGUGAGUAGGCGGUUAUGUAUGUCAGAUGUAAAAGGCGUGGGAUUAACUUACGUUAGCAUUUGAAACUGCAUAACUUGAGUGCGGGAGAGGUAAGUGGAAUUCCUAGUGUAGCGGUGAAAUGCGUAGAUAUUAGGAGGAACACCAGUGGCGAAGGCGACUUACUGGACCGUAACUGACGCUGAGUCACGAAAGCGUGGGUAGCAAACAGG